CGAGGGAAAUAUAGUACCGAAGUUCCUGAUUCCACGCUGCCAAGAAAAGCCUCUAGUGAGAUGUAAGGUGCCCGUACCGCAAACCGACACAGGUAGGCGAGGAGAGAAUCCUAAGGUGUGCGAGAGAACUCUCGUUAAGGAACUCGGCAAAAUGACCCCGUAACUUCGGGAGAAGGGGUGCUUUUUAGGGUGAAUAGCCCAGAAAAGCCGCAGUGAAUAGGCCCAGGCGACUGUUUAGCAAAAACACAGGUCUCUGCGAAGCCGCAAGGCGAAGUAUAGGGGCUGACACCUGCCCGGUGCUGGAAGGUUAAGGGGAGAGGUUAGCGCAAGCGAAGCUUUGAACCGAAGCCCCAGUAAACGGCGGCCGUAACUAUAACGGUCCUAAGGUAGCGAAAUUCCUUGUCGGGUAAGUUCCGACCCGCACGAAAGGUGUAACGAUCUGGGCACUGUCUCAACGAGAGACUCGGUGAAAUUAUAGUACCUGUGAAGAUGCAGGUUACCCGCGACAGGACGGAAAGACCCCGUGGAGCUUUACUGCAGCCUGAUAUUGAAUUUUGGUACAGCUUGUACAGGAUAGGUAGGAGCCUGAGAAGCCGGAGCGCUAGCUUCGGUGGAGGCGUUGGUGGGAUACUACCCUGGCUGUAUUGAAAUUCUAACCCGCGCCCCUUAUCGGGGUGGGAGACAGUGUCAGGUGGGCAGUUUGACUGGGGCGGUCGCCUCCUAAAGAGUAACGGAGGCGCCCAAAGGUUCCCUCAGAAUGGUUGGAAAUCAUUCGUAGAGUGUAAAGGCACAAGGGAGCUUGACUGCGAGACCUACAAGUCGAGCAGGGACGAAAGUCGGGCUUAGUGAUCCGGUGGUUCCGCAUGGAAGGGCCAUCGCUCAACGGAUAAAAGCUACCCCGGGGAUAACAGGCUUAUCUCCCCCAAGAGUCCACAUCGACGGGGAGGUUUGGCACCUCGAUGUCGGCUCAUCGCAUCCUGGGGCUGUAGUCGGUCCCAAGGGUUGGGCUGUUCGCCCAUUAAAGCGGUACGCGAGCUGGGUUCAGAACGUCGUGAGACAGUUCGGUCCCUAUCCGUCGCGGGCGCAGGAAAUUUGAGAGGAGCUGUCCUUAGUACGAGAGGACCGGGAUGGACGCACCGCUGGUGUACCAGUUGUCUUGCCAAAGGCAUAGCUGGGUAGCUACGUGCGGACGGGAUAAGUGCUGAAAGCAUCUAAGCAUGAAGCCCCCCUCAAGAUGAGAUUUCCCAUGGCGCAAGCUAGUAAGAUCCCUGAAAGAUGAUCAGGUUGAUAGGUCAGAGGUGGAAGCGUGGCGACAUGUGGAGCUGACUGAUACUAAUAGAUCGAGGACUUAACCAA
This 1356-nucleotide ribosomal RNA is filed under the name Peribacillus simplex NBRC 15720 = DSM 1321. RNAcentral describes it as "bacterial LSU rRNA". It matches the Rfam family "Bacterial large subunit ribosomal RNA", at positions 1569 to 2925 of the family's 2925-position model. The record is from RNAcentral. Lineage: Bacteria; Bacillati; Bacillota; Bacilli; Caryophanales; Bacillaceae.